GAGGAACCUGCCUUGGAGAGGGGAAUAACACUCCGAAAGGAGUGCUAAUACCGCAUGAUGCAGUUGAGUCGCAUGGCUCUGACUGCCAAAGAUUUAUCGCUCUGAGAUGGCCUCGCGUCUGAUUAGCUAGUAGGCGGGGUAACGGCCCACCUAGGCGACGAUCAGUAGCCGGACUGAGAGGUUGACCGGCCACAUUGGGACUGAGACACGGCCCAGACUCCUACGGGAGGCAGCAUG
RNAcentral lists this ribosomal RNA (237 nucleotides) under uncultured bacterium. RNAcentral's name for it is "partial 16S ribosomal RNA". It matches the Rfam family "Bacterial small subunit ribosomal RNA", at positions 119 to 353 of the family's 1533-position model. The record is from RNAcentral.